RNAcentral lists this ribosomal RNA (111 nucleotides) under uncultured Staphylococcus sp. Its description in RNAcentral is "partial 16S ribosomal RNA". It matches the Rfam family "Bacterial small subunit ribosomal RNA", at positions 338 to 448 of the family's 1533-position model. The record is from RNAcentral. Lineage: Bacteria; Bacillati; Bacillota; Bacilli; Caryophanales; Staphylococcaceae.
CCUACGGGAGGCAGCAGUAGGGAAUCUUCCGCAAUGGGCGAAAGCCUGACGGAGCAACGCCGCGUGAGUGAUGAAGGUCUUCGGAUCGACAAACUCUGUUUAGUUAAGGGG